Non-coding RNA from Ricinus communis (castor bean), 107 nucleotides. Lineage: Eukaryota; Viridiplantae; Streptophyta; Magnoliopsida; Malpighiales; Euphorbiaceae. The record is from Rfam.
AAAUUAUGAUGAGGGCAACUCCAUUAGAACUCUUUGAAUCUCUCUUAUGCCUCAUACAAAGUUUCUCCAUCAGCUUGUUGGAAGUUGGUAAUCUCAUUCAUAGUCCU